This is a non-coding RNA of Callithrix jacchus (white-tufted-ear marmoset), 1565 nucleotides long. The record is from RefSeq and is a predicted model, not a curated record. NCBI's taxonomy places the organism in Eukaryota, Metazoa, Chordata, Mammalia, Primates, Cebidae.
GCACAGCCAGCACCUGACACACACUGGUGCCCAGGAGAUGUUUGAUGAAUACAUAAUUGGGGGUGGGGCAGGGGCUCCUGUGCACAUUACAAAGGCAUGUGUAGAGUCCAGGGAUGACUUGCUGGCCGUUUUCAUGAGCCUGGACAGUUGAAGAAAUGAUGCCUAAAGCAAGUUUACCAUGCGGCAGCCAAAUCAAUGAGAACAGGAGUAAUGAAGGCACUCCUGGUCACGGGGCGUGUUUGCUUCCUUUGUGACAGAUUUCCACUUCUUUCUUUGUCAGGGAGGCUCCCCCUCAGCCAGGCCCAUGGACAAUUAUUGGUGAUAGAUUUGAGUGUUUCUGGGCAUGGCUCCAGGUCAUAACCAAGAUCCAGGCCCUGCCAGCAUCUUCCUGGGGUGAAAUUGACAGCAAGUGUAAGAAGGCUUGCUCAGCUCAUUAAUGGUGAGCCUUCAGCUGAGGCUGUCAGCACAACCCUGGAUGGGGUAGCUGGAGAGCAGAAAAGCCAAGGUGAGAGGAGGCGGCAGAGCUGAGGUACAAGGAGUGGAGCAAGAAGCCAAGCUUGGCUAAGCCCUUGGGGCCUUAAGAAAUGGGAUCUGACCAGAGUGGGGCCCUGAGGUCAUGUGACCUUAAAAGUGGAAGAUGUAUUGAUCGCUUGAUCACCAAGACCUCCCACCCACUACUCCUCACCACAUAAGUAAAACAGCAGGGCCUACAGUUGGCAGUAAGAUUAAAAUUUGGUACAACCUCUAAGGAGAGUGAUUUGGCAACCACCAUGAAAAUCAUAAAUGCUCAAACCCUGUUGAUACAUUUUCUUGGCAUCCUAAAGAAAAAAUGCAUAUGACUCCAUGCAGAUACAUGUACCAAAUGUGCACUGUAGCUGGCAAGCACAAAAGACUGGAGACAACCAAAUGUCCAUCAAUAGGGGAGCAUGCAUUAUUGGGGAAUACUGUGCAGUCAUGACAAAGGAUGACGGUAAUCUCCAGGACACCUUGAAGCGAAGAAAGCAAGAAGCCUGAAGAGCCCAUCUACCCUGAAUCCUCCCUUUUACAAAAGGGAAGCCUAAGACCCAGAGUGAGGAUUGAGUGGCAGAAAGCCCCGCCUCUAUACUCAGAGGCAAGUUCAAUACCAGGACUGCGAUUACCUGACUCCCAGACCAGAGGUCCCUCCUCUGCACCACAACUUCCACUCUGGUUAGAUGUGGCCAGGAGCCCAUAGCCCCUCCGCCUCUCACAAUCCCAAUACUCAGCAACUCAGAGUCAGACAUCUCUUCUACCGUCAAAUCCAGAUUCUCAGUGUCAUUGCUUCACUUCAUUUCCUCCUGUCCUGUCCUCAGCUAAACUAAGGAAGAGGCAUCACCACCACCCUUUACCUGCAGAUAGGUCAAACCACAAAGGAUCCCUUGAGUUCCUUCUUUCUCUCUUUCUCGGAAGAUCAUGUUAGUCACUCUGGACUUGUUUAUUGUAGAUCACCAUGGCUGCUCCCUGGACAGUGUCUGUCCUGGUCAGGGUAUCUCAUAUUGUUGUUCCCCUUUUAUCUCCUGAAGUGGAAAAUAAAUUUGCAGACAAUC